RNAcentral lists this ribosomal RNA (467 nucleotides) under uncultured bacterium. RNAcentral's name for it is "partial 16S ribosomal RNA". It matches the Rfam family "Bacterial small subunit ribosomal RNA", at positions 28 to 506 of the family's 1533-position model. The record is from RNAcentral.
GACGAACGCUGGCGGCGUACUUAACACAUGCAAGUCGAACGGAAAGGCCCUGCUUUUGUGGGGUGCUCGAGUGGCGAACGGGUGAGUAACACGUGAGUAACCUGCCCUUGACUUUGGGAUAACUUCAGGAAACUGGGGCUAAUACCGGAUAGGAGCUCCUGCUGCAUGGUGGGGGUUGGAAAGUUUCGGCGGUUGGGGAUGGACUCGCGGCUUAUCAGCUUGUUGGUGGGGUAGUGGCUUACCAAGGCUUUGACGGGUAGCCGGCCUGAGAGGGUGACCGGCCACAUUGGGACUGAGAUACGGCCCAGACUCCUACGGGAGGCAGCAGUGGGGAAUAGUGCACAAUGGGCGGAAGCCGGAUGCAGCAACGCCGCGUGCGGGAUGACGGCCUUCGGGUUGUAAACCGCUUUCGCCUGUGACGAAGCGUGAGUGACGGUAAUGGGUAAAGAAGCACCGGCUAACUACGU